RNAcentral lists this long non-coding RNA (484 nucleotides) under Anser cygnoides (Swan goose). RNAcentral describes it as "lncRNA (ENSACDG00005017125.1)". Lineage: Eukaryota; Metazoa; Chordata; Aves; Anseriformes; Anatidae. The record is from RNAcentral.
AUGCAAUUGCUUUCUCGUCCAAGGCCAGCAUUACCUGCAGCCCUAAAGGAAGCGCUCACAUUUGGGGUGAGUCCCGCCAGCUGCAGAGGUGGACCUGAAGAGCUCGAAGUCCGAUGCGUAGGCCAACCUGCAGGUGAUGAUCCAGCGGAGAGAACGGCCUUGCCUCUUGACUCCACCGCUCUGCUUCUGUGCCACGAUAAGCUGAACUGGAAGAGGACAUUCUUCCUGUGGAAUGAAGGGAUCCAUGCAAGGAAAGUUUUAACAGGCCCCACAUUGAAGAGCACCUGGAGUUCACUAACAGUCCACCAAGUCUGCAGUCUGACAGCUAAACAUGUAAUCAGAUCUUCAGUCUCCGGAGUCAAACCCAUUCUUGCAGCCCUUUUGUCAAAGCUGACAUCUUGGAGGUUUUUUGACAGAAGUAAAGCCCAGAUAAGUUUCUCCUAACUUCUAUAAAAGUGCUAAUUUAUCCUUUCAGAAAAAGAAA